GUCGAACGAAGUAGCAAUACUUAGUGGCAGACGGGUGAGUAACAUGUGGGUAUCUACCCUUUGGCCUGGAAUAACACGGGGAAACCUGUGCUAAUACCGGAUAAGUCCUAACGGAGAAAGUUUUAAUGCCAAAAGAUGAGCCCGCAUUUGAUUAGCUAGUUGGUAAGGUAAAAGCUUACCAAGGCGACAAUCAAUAGCUGAUUUGAGAGGAUGAUCAGCCACACUGGGACUGAGACACGGUCCAGACUCC
RNAcentral lists this ribosomal RNA (250 nucleotides) under uncultured bacterium. RNAcentral's name for it is "partial 16S ribosomal RNA". It matches the Rfam family "Bacterial small subunit ribosomal RNA", at positions 61 to 339 of the family's 1533-position model. The record is from RNAcentral.